ACAUACGACCAUAGACUCAAGAGAAUUGCGCAUCCCGUCCGCUCUGCCAUACACAAGCUUGAGAUCGGUGGAUUAGUAGUUGGGUGGGUGACCACCAGCGAAUACCCACUGUUGUAUGUU
RNAcentral lists this ribosomal RNA (120 nucleotides) under Pseudogymnoascus sp. VKM F-4516 (FW-969). Lineage: Eukaryota; Fungi; Ascomycota; Leotiomycetes; Thelebolales; Thelebolaceae. The record is from RNAcentral.